This 364-nucleotide ribosomal RNA is filed under the name uncultured bacterium. RNAcentral's name for it is "bacterial SSU rRNA". It matches the Rfam family "Bacterial small subunit ribosomal RNA", at positions 28 to 405 of the family's 1533-position model. The record is from RNAcentral.
GAUGAACGCUAGCGGCAGGCUUAAUACAUGCAAGUCAAGGGGGUAGCAAUACAACCGGCGCACGGGUGAGUAACGCGUACACAACAUACCAUAUACUGGAGUAUAGCUUCGGGAAACUGAAGGUAAUCCUCCAUAACAUUGCGAAAGGGCAUCUAAUUGCAAUUAAAGUUUCGACGGUAUAUGAUUGGUGUGCGUUUGAUUAGCUAGUUGGUAGGGUAACGGCCUACCAAGGCGACGAUCGAUAGCUGGCGUGAGAGCGCGACCAGCCACACUGGAACUGAGACACGGUCCAGACUCCUACGGGAGGCAGCAGUAGGGAAUAUUGGACAAUGGAGGAAACUCUGAUCCAGCCAUGCCGCGUGUA